CCUACGGGCGGCUGCAGUGGGGAAUAUUGGACAAUGGGGGGAACCCUGAUCCAGCCAUGCCGCGUGUGUGAAGAAGGCCCUCGGGUUGUAAAGCACUUUCAGUGAGGAAGAACGCCUGGUGGUUAAUACCCAUCAGGAAAGACAUCACUCACAGAAGAAGCACCGGCUAACUCCGUGCCAACAGCCGCGGUAAUACGGAGGGUGCGAGCGUUAAUCGGAAUUACUGGGCGUAAAGCGCGCGUAGGUGGCUUGAUAAGCCGGUUGUGAAAGCCCCGGGCUCAACCUGGGAACGGCAUCCGGAACUGUCAAGCUAGAGUGCAGGAGAGGAAGGUAGAAUUCCCGGUGUAGCGGUGAAAUGCGUAGAGAUCGGGAGGAAUACCAGUGGCGAAGGCGGCCUUCUGGACUGACACUGACACUGAGGUGCGAAAGCGUGGGUAGCAAACAGGAUUAGAUACCCCUGUAGUC
This 465-nucleotide ribosomal RNA is filed under the name Vreelandella stevensii. Its description in RNAcentral is "partial 16S ribosomal RNA". It matches the Rfam family "Bacterial small subunit ribosomal RNA", at positions 338 to 795 of the family's 1533-position model. The record is from RNAcentral. Lineage: Bacteria; Pseudomonadati; Pseudomonadota; Gammaproteobacteria; Oceanospirillales; Halomonadaceae.